UGUAGACUGGACUGUCCUCAAA
Molecule: microRNA, 22 nt
Filed under: Mus musculus (house mouse)
Lineage: Eukaryota; Metazoa; Chordata; Mammalia; Rodentia; Muridae
Description: mmu-miR-6363
Source: miRBase by way of RNAcentral